RNAcentral lists this ribosomal RNA (238 nucleotides) under uncultured bacterium. Its description in RNAcentral is "partial 16S ribosomal RNA". It matches the Rfam family "Bacterial small subunit ribosomal RNA", at positions 96 to 334 of the family's 1533-position model. The record is from RNAcentral.
CGGCGGACGGGUGAGUAACGCGUGGGUAACCUGCCUCAUACAGGGGGAUAACAGUUGGAAACGGCUGCUAAUACCGCAUAAGCGCACAGUACCGCAUGGUACCGUGUGAAAAACUCCGGUGGUAUGAGAUGGACCCGCGUCUGAUUAGCUAGUUGGUGGGGUAACGGCCUACCAAGGCGACGAUCAGUAGCCGACCUGAGAGGGUGAACGGCCACAUUGGGACUGAGACACGGCCCAG